This 486-nucleotide ribosomal RNA is filed under the name uncultured bacterium. RNAcentral describes it as "partial 16S ribosomal RNA". It matches the Rfam family "Bacterial small subunit ribosomal RNA", at positions 30 to 507 of the family's 1533-position model. The record is from RNAcentral.
AUUGAACGCUGGCGGCAUGCCUUACACAUGCAAGUCGAACGGCAGCACGGGUGCUUGCACCUGGUGGCGAGUGGCGAACGGGUGAGUAAUACAUCGGAACAUGUCCUGUAGUGGGGGAUAGCCCGGCGAAAGCCGGAUUAAUACCGCAUACGAUCCACGGAUGAAAGCGGGGGACCUUCGGGCCUCGCGCUAUAGGGUUGGCCGAUGGCGGAUUAGCUAGUUGGUGGGGUAAAGGCCUACCAAGGCGACGAUCAGUAGCUGGUCUGAGAGGACGACCAGCCACACUGGGACUGAGACACGGCCCAGACUCCUACGGGAGGCAGCAGUGGGGAAUUUUGGACAAUGGGCGAAAGCCUGAUCCAGCAAUGCCGCGUGUGUGAAGAAGGCCUUCGGGUUGUAAAGCACUUUUGUCCGGAAAGAAAUCCUUGGCUCUAAUACAGUCGGGGGAUGACGGUACCGGAAGAAUAAGCACCGGCUAACUACGUG